RNAcentral lists this ribosomal RNA (497 nucleotides) under uncultured bacterium. RNAcentral describes it as "partial 16S ribosomal RNA". It matches the Rfam family "Bacterial small subunit ribosomal RNA", at positions 28 to 507 of the family's 1533-position model. The record is from RNAcentral.
GAUGAACGCUGGCGGCGUGCCUAAUACAUGCAAGUCGAGCGAACAGACGAGGAGCUUGCUCCUCUCACGUUAGCGGCGGACGGGUGAGUCACACGUGGAUAACCUACCUAUAAGACUGGGAUCACUUCGGGAAACCGGAGCUAACCCCGGAUAAUAUCUUGAACCGCAUGGUUCAAUAGUGAAAGACGGUUUUGCUGUCACUUCUAGCUGGAUCCGCGCUGCAUUAGCUGGUUGGUAAGGUAACGGCGUACCAAGGCGACGAUGCCUGGCCGACCUGAGAGGGUGAUCGGCCACCCUGGAACGGAGACACGGUCAAGACUACUACGGGAGGCAGCAGUAGGGAAUCUUCCGCAAUGGGCGAAAGCCUGACGGAGCAACGCCGCGUGAGUGAUGAAGGUCUUCGGAUCGGAAAACUCUGUUAUUAGGGAAGAACAAAUGUGUAAGUAACUAUGCACGUCUUGACGGUACCUAAUCAGAAAGCAACGGCUAACUACGUG